This 28-nucleotide small RNA is filed under the name Bombyx mori (domestic silkworm). Its description in RNAcentral is "ovarian small RNA-30227". The record is from RNAcentral. Lineage: Eukaryota; Metazoa; Arthropoda; Insecta; Lepidoptera; Bombycidae.
UCUUGUGCGACGCGGCUAAAAGGAAGGC